This is a long non-coding RNA of Zalophus californianus (California sea lion), 4404 nucleotides long. RefSeq lists it as uncharacterized. NCBI's taxonomy places the organism in Eukaryota, Metazoa, Chordata, Mammalia, Carnivora, Otariidae. The record is from RefSeq and is a predicted model, not a curated record. The transcript has 4 exons.
AUUGGUCUAAAGAUCAUACUGAGAGAAAUAAAAAGCAUGAAAGUCAUGCUUGAAAUUGUCAAAACAGUUCCAGUUUGUCUCAUCUGCUUGGGAGGGAGGAUGAAUCCUCGAUCUGGGGGCUUUCUCUGGGAGUUGGAAUACACACGAUAGUUACCAUUCAUCAGCAUCCACUAUGUGCCGGACACUAUCUCUUAUCCUUUCAACAUCGGUCAAAGUGAAUGUAACUACCUCUACUUUAUAUCUGAGGAAUCUGAAGCUUUGAGAAAUUAAAUUACUUAUCCAAAAUCAAACAGUGCUGAUGAAAAGCCAGGUCUUAUCAGCAUACCAACCUGCUAAGUGUUUAGUUUGGUUAAAAAAGAAGAAGAAGAAGAAGAAGAGAAGUCUAGCCAAUCACAUCCUGUAUGCUGAAUCCUGGAGCACAGCAGAGACAUUGGACUAUGAACACACAUGACAAGUCCCAGAGCUCCAAGUAAGCAGAGCCAGCAGAGAGUCUGUCCAGGGGAGACCCAAAGCCCGAGAAGCUCCUUUUCUUCUUUGUUUCAAUUACAUCAUUCUCCAGAGACAAAAGUUCAUCAAGAAGCAAGAGUUUUGCUGCCAGAUUAGUAGCUGAUUUCUCUUCCCUGACUGUGGGUGGUGCCUGCACAUCUAUGACUCCAGAAUCAAAAGCCUAUAGGGCAAGAAAGGUGAUUCCAUUUGUUCAGAAAAAGAAACCUUAAAUAUAUAUAAUCAUCUGCAUUUGGCUUUUGCUAGCUUUAGCUCACCUGCCUGCCAUGAUACUUGAUUUCUUAUGGUUUUAUGUUUCUAGAAAAGACUUAUGGAGACAAAAAUGCAUAGAGAUGAUGUAUGUCUAAACACAAUUAAAACAAUACACACACACACACACACACACACACACACAGGAAAAAAGGAAAAACUACAGGUCUGCCUCUAAAAUUUAGUAUAUUAACUGAUCAUUCUUUUAGGUUCUUUCCCAGUAACAGCUGCAUCCUUCCUUAUCAUUCCCAUAGCACUUUAUCUUUCUUCAUUGUACUCAUUACAUUUUCCCUUGUAUUAGAUUGGUACAAUAAAUUUGUAUUGCAUAGUAGAUUGUGAGUAACCUGGGGGCAAUAACUAUGUCUAAUUAGUCCUUUAUUUUUUCACUCUAUUCAAUGCUUAAGCCAGUAUUUUGCUCAUAGUUAGUACUCAGGAAAUUUCUGAAUAUUUCUUGAAUGAAUUUUGAAAAUGCAAACCUCACACUGUUAUCGUUUCACCAUUCAUUCACACCUUAUUGAAUCAAGCCAUUAAAGCACCCACUAUGUACCAGGUUCUGCAUUAGACCUGAGGGGUAAAAAAAUGAACAAAAUCCAGUUUCUGCCCUCAGGAAGCUUACUAUCUCUUUCCAUGUGAUGUAUUACCACAUGUUAAUGAGUGUCUACAGUGAGUCAUAACUAUCCCAAUGACUUUAUCCUCCUGUGUAAAAUUUCUUGUUUGUUACAUAUAUUGCCACUUUGCACUGUAUUCAAGACAUAAAAGUGUGGUGUCUUUUCCUUUCCUAAUCCUGGUCACAGCAUUUUAAAAAGUGUUCCUAUUAACUGCCUCUAGUCAUUGUGGAGUCUAGGGGAUAUUACUUCUUUUCUAGGAAAGUGAGAAUAUUCCCCUGUGGGAAGAAACUAGCUCCAGGGAUCUCCUUCCUGCCCCUCUGUAUGUCACAUUCCUCCUUGUGCCAGACUUGGUCUUGGCAAGACUCUUUUUCUUCACUUCCUUUCUUUCUUCUUAGAUUAUUUCUUCCGUUCUCUUUCUAUGUUCUUCAUUUUCCCCAAUAAAAUGAAAGAGCGGCAUUUUCCAAGCCUUUUCAUCAUUGGCUCCAGCAACUCUCUCUUGUGAAAUAUAUAUAGUCUGACACCUAGACUCAAAGCUAUUGAACCUCCUCUUUCCUAAACCAGCCAAAUUUGCACUAAGUCUGGUCAGUUCUUCCUGGAAAAACUCUCUUGCUCUUUCUGAUUCCCAUCAGUAGUGACUUAACAUCAGCUCCUCUUCACUGCUUAGUGUAGCUUCACUCCUAAUCACCUCAUAACCUGCUUCUCUAUCCUCUGUCUCCCCCUUUUCUCUUCUAUCCUGAAUACUGCCAAGAAGCUAAUUAUUGCAAACACACUCUCAUCUGGUAGAAAGAAAAUAAGAAAUCUCUCCUGGCUCUUGUUAUUUAUAAUGCAGACUGCACAAUGUCCACCGACUCCUUUUUAAAAUUUCAACGUCUAUCACUCUCCUCCAUAAACUUGACAACAUAGAAACUGGGGAAGGGAAGGAUGCUAUAAUCAUGAGAAAGAAACUCUAGAGAGUAGUAGACAAACUUUCAAAGGGCAAAGAUAGGAUAUCUUUUAUCAUCUCUUAGUGCAUCCUCCAAAAAAUAUGUUUUCAUUCUUCCAACUGCCACACAUACAAAAUAGAGUUUUGUUCCUUUUUAAAGAUACUCUUAAUUAACCCUAAGGAAAAAAAAAAAAACAUAGCUCUCAUGUAAAACUUCCUUCAGCAAAGUGCUUUUCAGAUUCUCACUUGUUAUUUACAAAGUACAGAGAACACUUUCUAAUAAGAUCAAAUUAGCCAAAUUAACAUUUCUCUGUGUACUUUAGUCAUGGCAGCAAGAAAACAUUUGUAUAGUCAUACAAAGUUUGGCCAAAGCGACUCAAAUUUUGACAUGUAACAACUUCAAAUUUCCCACAAAAGCACUUCAUCUUAAUGUAAUUGAUUUAAUUAAAAAUAUGGCCAAAAGGAUAUUGAAUUUUCUCUUAAUGCUUUUUUGUUCAAGGAAUACACAUCUUUAUUACUUCCAUUUUAUUUUUUGGCGUUCAGAUAACUGGCCUUCUCUGAAUCUACAGUGAGGUCAAGACAAUAGAAAAAAAAGUCUAUUUCCUUGAUUUUGUGCUAUCAAAGCAUCUCUCUAUUUGUCAGCAGCACCUGCUUCUGAUAAGUAGAAAUGGCUUAUGUUCAUAAAAAAAAAAAAUAUGGUCCCUUAGGCUAGUUUCCAUUACCUCUGUUGCUACAUCCACUGAGCGUACUUUUCCUGAACUCCACAGCAUCAACAUCACAGCCAGAAUAAAAUGUGCAUUUGCCAAUCUCCAGUCCAGCAUCUGAGGGUCACAUACAUCAAGUCAACAUUUAUUACUUUGGCAUAUAAAGAUAGAAAACAAAAGCUCUGGGAAACUUGUUAGAUGCAGGCGAUAAACCAAAUUUUUCAGCUUCUAGGUGCUGGAGUGCAUCUCUGAAAAAAUUAAGUAAUACUUAACAGAAGCUGUCAGUCUACUGGAAUGAAUUCUAUUAAGGCUUCAUUUCCAUGGAAAUCUAGGCUGGGGUUGUAUAGCCAUAAUCAUAAUUCGAACCAACCAAAGUCUGAGAAAUCUAGUUGUGUAAUCUUAUUCUUUGACUAUCUAAUCCAAGGAUUAUAACCUCAUAUAUCCAGGGGAAAUGUGUGAAAUUGGCCAGGUUUUAGAAAAUAAAGUCCAGCGAGGUCUGUGUGAACCUGAGAAAAUGCACUGUGUCUAAAAACAUUUAAAUUGACAAAUUCAAAGCACCACAUAUCCAUAGACAAAUAUAUCUAUGCCCUUGUGUCAUGUAAGGAUUUCUUAAGAUUCAAAAGGUGCAAAAUGGAAUAUAUUUUCAACAUAAUAUAUAAAAGAGAGAUUAGCAUUUGAAAUAUUUAAAAACUGAUAAAUAAAAUUUUAAAAAUAGCAAUUAAUUGACAAUUAAGUAAAAAAUGGACCAAAGUUAUGAAUGGGCAUUUCAGAGAAAAGGAAAUAACCUAAUGGAAAAUAAACAUCCAAAAAGACAUCAUCCAAAAAUACACGCAACUUAUUUAAUGCAAAAAAAGAGUGAGACAUACAUCAGAUUGGCAAAAAUUCAAAGUGAACAUUGCAAAUAUUAGAGUGGUGCUUGGAAACAGAAAAACACAAGUGAUACUGGUGGGGUUGGAAAUGAAUCCAAUCAUUUGGAGAAAAUUGGACGAUAUCCAGAAAAGUUGAAGAUGAUCAUGUCCUACCUAUAACCCAUGUAUUUCACUUCUUGGUAUGUAUUCCAAAAGAACUCUUACAUAUUUUUAUGGAGACAUGUAUCUGAAAGUUCAUAGACUCAUUGUUUAUAGUGGUAAAAACUGGAAUCAAUCCAAGUACUCUACUCAGGAGGAAAUGGGUUUAUCAAUUGAAGUACAUCCAUAGUAUGGACUUAGAACAGAUGACUUAAAUAUAUCUGUAUCUACUAUGAAAACAAAUGAUUUAAAUGUUAUGUGUAUUUACAUGCAUGGAUUUCAAAGAAACCACUUUGGGGGGGAAUGGGAAGUUGUAGAACAAUAUAUAAGACAUGCUAUCAUUUACCUAAAUUGCGGAUACACAAAGCAAUUUUAUGUAUUUUGAAAUCUAUACACAUAUUAAAAUAUAA